RNAcentral lists this ribosomal RNA (497 nucleotides) under uncultured bacterium. Its description in RNAcentral is "partial 16S ribosomal RNA". It matches the Rfam family "Bacterial small subunit ribosomal RNA", at positions 28 to 507 of the family's 1533-position model. The record is from RNAcentral.
GACGAACGCUGGCGGCGUGCCUAAUACAUGCAAGUUGAGCGCUGAAGGUUGGUACUUGUACCCACUGGAUGAGCAGCGAACGGGUGAGUAACGCGUGGGGAAUCUGCCUUUGAGCGGGGGACAACAUUUGGAAACGAAUGCUAAUACCGCAUAAAAACUUUAAACACAAGUUUUAAGUUUGAAAGAUGCAAUUGCAUCACUCAAAGAUGAUCCCGCGUUGUAUUAGCUAGUUGGUGAGGUAAAGGCUCACCAAGGCGAUGAUACAUAGCCGACCUGAGAGGGUGAUCGGCCACAUUGGGACUGAGACACGGCCCAAACUCCUACGGGAGGCAGCAGGAGGGAAUCUUCGGCAAUGGACGAAAGUCUGACCGAGCAACGCCGCGUGAGUGAAGAAGGUUGUCGGAUCGUAAAACUCGGUUGGUAGAGAAGAACGUUGGUGAGAGUGGAAAGCUCAUCAAGUGACGGUAACUACCCAGAAAGGGACGGCUAACUACGUG